AUACGGAGGGUGCAAGCGUUAAUCGGAAUUACUGGGCGUAAAGCGCGCGUAGGCGGUUAUUUAAGUCAGAUGUGAAAUCCCUGGGCUCAACCUAGGAACUGCAUCUGAUACUGGGUAACUAGAGUUUUGGAGAGGUAAGUGGAAUUUCCGGUGUAGCCGUGAAAUGCAUAGAGAUCGGAAGGAACACCAGUGGCGAAGGCGACUUACUGGCCAAAAACUGACGCUGAGGUGCGAAAGCGUGGGUAGCAAACAGGAUUAGAAACCCUUGUAGUCC
RNAcentral lists this ribosomal RNA (274 nucleotides) under uncultured bacterium. RNAcentral's name for it is "partial 16S ribosomal RNA". It matches the Rfam family "Bacterial small subunit ribosomal RNA", at positions 523 to 796 of the family's 1533-position model. The record is from RNAcentral.